Pogona vitticeps (central bearded dragon) is the source of this 1697-nucleotide RNA transcript. It is a transcript of the gene named CUGBP Elav-like family member 3, with no coding region annotated. NCBI's taxonomy places the organism in Eukaryota, Metazoa, Chordata, Lepidosauria, Squamata, Agamidae. The record is from RefSeq and is a predicted model, not a curated record.
UGGGGGGAGGUUGUGUCGUGGGUUUUAUUUUCUUCUUACUUUUGGGUUUUUUUUUGGUGGGGUUGGUUUGUUUUUCCGAGGGUCACCAUUCUGAAUUUGAGGCUUGCUCCCGCUUGCUCCUCUUUGGACCAAUGAAGGAACCAGACGCUAUCAAACUUUUCAUUGGACAGAUCCCCCGGAAUUUAGAGGAGAAAGACCUGAAGCCCAUCUUCGAACAGUUCGGCAAAAUCUACGAGUUGACCGUCAUUAAGGAUAAAUACACCGGCAUGCAUAAAGGAUGCGCCUUCCUGACCUACUGUGCCCGCGAAUCAGCCCUCAAGGCCCAGAGUGCUCUCCACGAACAGAAAACACUGCCAGGGAUGAACCGGCCAAUCCAGGUUAAACCAGCAGACAGUGAAAGCAGAGGAGAAGACAGGAAGCUGUUUGUGGGGAUGCUGGGUAAACAGCAGACGGACGAGGACGUUCGGAAGAUGUUCGAGCCGUUUGGGAACAUCGACGAAUGCACGGUUCUCCGAGGCCCCGACGGCACCAGCAAAGGCUGCGCCUUCGUGAAGUUCCAGACGCACGCCGAGGCGCAAGCUGCGAUCAACACGCUGCAUGGCAGCCGCACAUUGCCGGGUGCCUCCUCCAGCCUCGUGGUGAAAUUUGCCGACACGGAGAAGGAACGGGGGCUCCGGCGCAUGCAGCAGGUGGCCAACCAGCUGGGCAUGUUCAGCCCCAUCGCGCUGCAGUUUGGGGCCUACAGCGCCUACACCCAAGCGCUAAUGCAGCAACAGGCCGCUCUCGUGGCUGCACACUCUGCCUACCUCAACCCCAUGGCGACGAUGGCCGCAGUCCAGAUGCAGCAGAUGGCCACCAUCAGCCCCAGCGGCCUCAUUGCCACCCCGAUCACCCCCAUCACGCCCUCCUCAGGUACCAGCACGCCGCCUGCCAUUGCUGCCACGCCAGUGUCUGCCAUCCCGGCCACCCUCAGCGUCAACGGCUACAGCCCUGUCCCCACCCAGAGCACAGGGCAGCCGGCCUCGGAGGCCAUUUACACCAACGGCGUCCACCCUUACCCAGCACAGAGCCCGGCUGCCCCUGUGGACCCCUUGCAACAGGCCUACGCCGGGAUGCAGCAUUAUACAGCCGCCUACCCUGCCGCCUACGGUCUGGUGAGCCCAGCCUUCCCGCAACAGCCCGCCACCAUCAUCACCCAGCAGCCUCCUCCACAACAACCGCAGCAGCAGCAGCAGCAGCGGGAAGGUCCCGAGGGCUGUAACAUCUUCAUCUACCACCUGCCGCAGGAGUUCACGGACUCCGAGAUCUUGCAGAUGUUCCUCCCCUUCGGAAACGUCAUCUCUGCCAAAGUCUUCGUGGACCGCGCCACCAAUCAGAGCAAAUGUUUCGGAUUCGUAAGUUUCGACAAUCCAGCCAGCGCUCAGGCUGCCAUCCAGGCCAUGAACGGCUUCCAGAUCGGGAUGAAACGUCUCAAGGUGCAGCUCAAGAGGCCCAAAGACGCCAACCGGCCGUACUGAAUCACCACCACCCCAAUCAGGGCUCCCGUCCUCUCUUGAGACGACUCUGUGGCUAAGCCACCCUUCGCUGUCGCGGGAGACCUAGCUCCGUUGCCCCCCUUGUCCACCACUCCGUGGAGGAGCAAAGACCCCCCCCCCCCGAUUCUCUUGCCCUUCCUUCUUUCCUUUUCCUCCCUCCCG